AUGCCUUUCAAUGCUCCUCUUUACUCUGAUUAUGCCAUGUGUUUAUGGCCUCCCACUUCUCGACAUGCUUUCCUUUGAUUUCCAUUUUCUCCUUGUUUUCCUCCUACAUCACUGCCUUUUCCUUCUCAGUCUCCUUCUAGAGUUCACUUCUGUCUGUCCCUUAAGAUUAGUCCCCUACUCCAACCGCAUACACACACACAGAGCCACCUGUGGAAAAAGACUUCUGUUCUCACCUUCCCUACUGUUCUUGGGCAGAUUAUCUGAAGUCUGUUUUGUUUUUUUGUUUUUUUUUUUUAACUAAGGGGAGAUUUACACCUCCUAUAACGUGUGCAUGUGGAUUAAUAAUAAUAAUAACGAGAGAAGUAUAAACACUGAAACUUUCUAAGAAGGUUUCAGCAAAAGUAUUGAUGGAGACGAGAAGGUGUAAAGGUGUUAAAUUCCUAUCUUCCAUACAAAGAAAUCAGUAAAUAACAUUUCAAACUGAAAAAUGAGGAGUCUGUAGUAUCAGUUAAGUUAUUUUAAAUAUGGAGGUAAACACCAGGGGGAAAAUGUCAGCCAGAAGAGUUGAAAAUGUUUCUCUGCAGAGUGAGAACUGCAGGAAGUCAGAAGUGUUUUGGGCAAAGGACUGCUGUUUUUCACAAUACCUCCUAUGAUACCAUUUGGCUCUUUAAACUUCGUGCACAUUCAUAUAAAAGGUGAUAGGGAUAACAUUCCAAACCACUAGUUUCCGUAUAUAUAAAAUCAGUAUUUUGAUAUAAAAUUUGCCUAAAUGAAAAAAGAUAACUGGAACAAUUCCAAAGCAGACCUCCAAGAAUGGAGCAAUAAAAAAGAAAAAAAAAAAUGCUCGAAUGGCUGUUGAAGGAGGAGACGAAACGAUAACUGCCAUCUGGAAAAAAUAAAGAACCACACACCUCUUUUCUAUUAAACACAAAACUGUACUAUAGUAACCAGUUCCUAAGUCUUCCUAACGCCUCUCAGCAGCUCUUGGGCUUGCCAACAGCUCUUCCAGAAUGUUCACAUGAGGAUAUAAACAGAAAAAGAAGCCACUUCGUAUGUAAAGAAAAAGGAAGAAGACGCUUCCUCAAGAUCUCAAAAGCUUAGAUUCACACUCGCCUGAGGGAAGAGUGAGGAAAGUUACCACGAAUACUUCACUACUGUAUGGAAAACUAUGUUAUAUCAUUAAGAAUAAUUUAACUCAAGCAUGAGACAGACUUAAACAACUUUCUUCUUUCAGUAAAAGGUAAAACUAUGCUAAAUGAAUAAUUUCCACAAGUUCUUAUAUUGGCAGAACUGCCUGUGCCCUUGACCAUAAAUUUUAUUUGAUUUUUUACGAUAUUUUUCUACUUUUGAGGAAGUUUUUCUCUCCCUAAAUGUAGGUGAUUUAUUUUGAGAUGCUUUCUUCAGUAUAUUUUAAGGAAAGUCAGUCGUGUCUAAGCUUUCUGACAAAACACAACACUGGAUGAUGCCUGCCCUCCCCACCCCCACCCCCGGCCACACACACACAUUUCUUAUUCUGAAGUCUGUUCUGUUCUAUUUCUCUUCCCCUAAAGUCUUACCUCUCAACCCCUACCUACCCAGAUCCCAAAACUCUGCUGGUUUCAACCUCCUGGGAAAGAAAGCCUGCCCCUGCUAUUUUCUCUGCUCCUUCAAAACACACUAAAGAGGUGGGUGAAAGAACAUCUUAAAUCAGUCCGCCUAAAACAAGUGCCUUCUUGGAGCCAUCCUAAAUGCUUCCACAACUGCCAGCCUCCAAAAGACACGAAAUACUGUUGGGAGGGCGCGAGGCCAUUGCUGCCGCGUCUUCUGUGAGCAAUGAGGAGCCAACAGCAGAGAAGGCGAAGGUACGAACUUCUUUGAACUACCAGACUCAGU
Non-coding RNA from Odocoileus virginianus texanus, 1872 nucleotides. Lineage: Eukaryota; Metazoa; Chordata; Mammalia; Artiodactyla; Cervidae. The record is from RefSeq and is a predicted model, not a curated record.